GGUUGAGCUGGACCUGCCAAGAGC
This 24-nucleotide non-coding RNA is filed under the name Cricetulus griseus (Chinese hamster). The record is from RNAcentral. Lineage: Eukaryota; Metazoa; Chordata; Mammalia; Rodentia; Cricetidae.